UUGGCAGAUGUCAUCAAGUUUAAUUCAAUAUGACCAGUGGAGAGGAUACCCAGAGACGCAGACACACAGAAAGAAGGCCAUGUGAAGCUGGAGGCCGAGAUUCGGAUGUGCAUCCAUGAGACAAGGAACAGCAUGCACUGCCAGCCAUCACCAGAGCUCGGAGAGAGGCACGGGACAGAUUCUCCCCCAUGUCCACCGGAAGGAACCAGUCCAGCCAACACCUUGACUUCAAACUUCUAGCCUCAGAACUGUGAGACAAUAAAUUCCGUUUGUAGGCCCCCAGUUGGUGAGAUUCUGUUUCAGCAGCCCUAGGAAUCAAACGCACAAGUCUCCUGGGCUGAAUGCUGGUUACACGAGAGCUUGUGAGAAUUCGGUGAACUGUGGACUUACCAAUUAUGCGUGUUUCUCUUAUAUACAACACUUGAACAAAGGGGUCAAAAAAUAUAUAUCACAAAGCAGAUGCUUGCAGGAAGCGUUGGAAAAAGCCGUUUCUUGUGCUCAGUUGGCAGGACGAAUUCCCCUCUUCUCUGGUCACUGCCUUCCUGUGCUUUGGAAGGUACUUGGAGAGGAACCAUGUGAAAACACGAUGUUCAGAAACGGUCCCAGUAAAAGCCACACAGAGAAAGUGAGUGUAACUGAGAGGGCUCACGUCUCACGGAGAACGAUGGCCUUCUCUUAGAGGACAAUUACAGGGAAACAACGGUUUGUAAAUUUGAGGAAAAUUUGAUUUCUCUUUGCUUGUAGUUAUCUGUUCACCUGAUCACCACUGCUGAAUCGGCUGUAAUUGGAGCUCGCUCUUUGCCAGGCCCUGCGGUUGGGGGAAUUUGCUCACUUCUAGCAGCCCCCUGCUUUGUUUCCUAACAGAUGCGCCCUGUUUGUCAUGGACGCUUCCACAGAUAAGAGAAAAGGAGUGUGGAAGGAAGCGCAAAGAAGUCUGAGCUGCAGGGAGUCUCUUCAGGCCCUGGAAACACUUGCAGGGAAAAUGACAUCAUUUGAAUGAAAGAAUGAAUAUUAGAGGAAGGCCUGGCUUUGGAAGAGACCGGUCUGAUAAAGAAGAUGAGUGUGGACACAACUAUGACAGAACCAAACUGAGCACACUCAUAGACACAGAAACACGUGCCCACGCGGUCUAGAGACGAAGUGUACGUAUGUGCAGAACGAGACUGCCCUGAUUGCACCUGGUAGGCUUUGGAGAGCAGGCCUAGAGCCCAGCUGAAGGAAAGAGCUGCUCCCAGAGUCAGGAGUAGGAGGUCUUUGGUCCUUGAGCUGCAGGAACCUGCGCCCUGGCUAUGCGGAGGCGGCUGAGCCUCUAGACCUGCAAGGACCACUUGGGGCCUGGAAAGAUCUCCACAAGCGCUGGGGACAGAGGAUGACACAGUAAUAUCUAACACUGCAUUCCCCAAAAUGCUGGUGCCCUGGGGUGGGGGUCAAAGCCAGGGAAGCCAGUUUACAGAGAAUGAAGUAACAUUUC
Molecule: long non-coding RNA, 1471 nt
Organism: Piliocolobus tephrosceles (Ugandan red Colobus)
Lineage: Eukaryota; Metazoa; Chordata; Mammalia; Primates; Cercopithecidae
Exons: 3
Source: RefSeq, a predicted model, not a curated record